This 440-nucleotide ribosomal RNA is filed under the name uncultured bacterium. Its description in RNAcentral is "partial 16S ribosomal RNA". It matches the Rfam family "Bacterial small subunit ribosomal RNA", at positions 338 to 795 of the family's 1533-position model. The record is from RNAcentral.
CCUACGGGAGGCAGCAGUGGGGAAUAUUGCACAAUGGGGGAAACCCUGAUGCAGCGACGCCGCGUGAGUGAAGAAGUAAUUCGUUAUGUAAAGCUCUAUCAGCAGGGACGAAAAUGACGGUACCCGAGUAAGACGCCCCGGCUAACUCCGUUCCAGCUGCCGCGGUAACACGUGGGGGACAAGCGUUAUCCGGAUUUACUGGGUGUAAAGGGAGCGUAGACGGCAGGGCAAGUCUGGAGUGAAUGGCGGGGGCUCAACCCCCGGACUGCUCUGGAAACUGUACGGCGGGAGUGCAGGAGAGGUAAGUGGAAUUCCUGGUGUAGCGGUGAAAUGCGUAGAGAUUAGGAGGAACACCAGUGGCGAAGGCGGCUUACUGGACUGUAACUGACGUUGAGGCUCGAAAGCGUGGGGAGCAAACAGGAUUAGAUACCCUAGUAGUC